AACGUAGGGGGCGAGCGUUAUCCGGAUUUAUUGGGCGUAAAGCGCGUGCAGGCGGCUUUCUAAGUCGGACGUGAAAUCUUUCGGCUUAACCGGAAGGGGUCGUGCGAUACUGGGAGGCUUGAGGUCGGGAGAGGGAAGUGGAAUUCCCGGUGUAGUGGUGGAAUGCGUAGAUAUCGGGAGGAACACCAGUGGCGAAGGCGGCUUCCUGGCCCGCACCUGACGCUAAGACGCGAAAGCGUGGGGAGCAAACGGGAUUAGAUACCCCCGUA
This 269-nucleotide ribosomal RNA is filed under the name uncultured prokaryote. RNAcentral describes it as "partial 16S ribosomal RNA". It matches the Rfam family "Bacterial small subunit ribosomal RNA", at positions 524 to 792 of the family's 1533-position model. The record is from RNAcentral.